RNAcentral lists this ribosomal RNA (463 nucleotides) under uncultured bacterium. RNAcentral describes it as "bacterial SSU rRNA". It matches the Rfam family "Bacterial small subunit ribosomal RNA", at positions 331 to 792 of the family's 1533-position model. The record is from RNAcentral.
CCAGACUCCUACGGGAGGCAGCAGUGAGGAAUAUUGGUCAAUGGUCGGGAGACUGAACCAGCCAAGCCGCGUGAGGGAUGAAGGUACAGAGUAUCGUAAACCUCUUUUGUCAGGGAACAAAGGCGGGGACGUGUCCCCGGAUGAGUGUACCUGAAGAAAAAGCAUCGGCUAACUCCGUGCCAGCAGCCGCGGUAAUACGGAGGAUGCGAGCGUUAUCCGGAUUUAUUGGGUUUAAAGGGUGCGCAGGCGGCGUGUCAAGUCAGCGGUAAAAUGUCGGGGCUCAACCCCGGCCGGCCGUUGAAACUGGCGGGCUGGAGUUGGAGAGAAGUACGCGGAAUGCGCGGUGUAGCGGUGAAAUGCUUAGAUAUCGCGCAGAACCCCGAUUGCGAAGGCAGCGUACCGGCUCCACACUGACGCUGAGGCACGAAAGUGCGGGGAUCGAACAGGAUUAGAUACCCCCGUA